UACGUAUGGUGCAAGUGUUAUCCGGAUUUACUGGGUGUAAAGGGAGCGCAGGCGGAAGGCUAAGUCUGAUGUGAAAGCCCGGGGCUCAACCCCGGUACUGCAUUGGAAACUGGUCAUCUAGAGUGUCGGAGGGGUAAGUGGAAUUCCUAGUGUAGCGGUGAAAUGCGUAGAUAUUAGGAGGAACACCAGUGGCGAAGGCGGCUUACUGGACGAUAACUGACGCUGAGGCUCGAAAGCGUGGGGAGCAAACAGG
Molecule: ribosomal RNA, 253 nt
Filed under: Roseburia inulinivorans DSM 16841
Lineage: Bacteria; Bacillati; Bacillota; Clostridia; Lachnospirales; Lachnospiraceae
Description: partial 16S ribosomal RNA
Rfam family: Bacterial small subunit ribosomal RNA
Source: RNAcentral